AUGGAUGUGAAGAGUGCAUUCCUCAACGACAAGAUUGAAGAAGAAGUGUACGUUGCUCAACCACCUGGCUUUGAAGAUCCAAAACAUCCUGAUAUGGUGUACAAACUAAACAAAGCACUGUAUGGCCUCAAACAAGCCCCUUGCGCUUGCUAUGAUACGAUCAAAGAUUUCCUGAAGAGCAAAGGCUUCAAACCUGGAUCCCUCGAUCCCACACUCUUCACGAAGACAUAUGAUGGUGAACUGUUUGUAUGCCAAAUAUAUGUGGAUGACAUUAUCUUCGGCUGCACCAACCAGAAGUAUAGUGAUGAGUUUGGAUACAUGAUGCAAGAGCAAUAUCAGAUGUCCAUGAUGGGUGAGCUGAAGUUCUUCCUUGGUCUUCAAAUUCGUCAGCAAAGGAAUGGCAUCUUCAUAUCUCAAGAAAUAUAUCUCAAAGACUGUCUGAAGAAGUUUGGAAUGCAAGAUUGCAAAGGUUACACAACGCCAAUGCCAGCCAAGCACCAUCUUGGUCCCGACGACUGGUAA
RNAcentral lists this ribosomal RNA (522 nucleotides) under Triticum aestivum (bread wheat). Its description in RNAcentral is "partial small subunit ribosomal RNA". The record is from RNAcentral. Lineage: Eukaryota; Viridiplantae; Streptophyta; Magnoliopsida; Poales; Poaceae.